Molecule: ribosomal RNA, 444 nt
Filed under: uncultured bacterium
Lineage: Bacteria
Description: partial 16S ribosomal RNA
Rfam family: Bacterial small subunit ribosomal RNA
Source: RNAcentral
CCUACGGGGUGCAGCAGUGGGGAAUAUUGGGCAAUGGAGGAAACUCUGACCCAGCAACGCCGCGUGAAUGAUGAAGGUCUUCGGAUUGUACAGUUCUUUUCUAAGGGAAGAAGAAAGUGACGGUACCUUAGGAAUAAGCCUCGGCUAACUACGUGCCAGCAGCCGCGGUAAUACGGCGGAGGCAAUCGUUAUCCGGAAUGACUGGGCGUACAGGGUGCGUAGGUGGUUUGACAAGUUGGUAGCGUAACUCCGGGGUUCAACCUCGGCACUACUACCAAAACUGUCGGACUUGAGUUCAGGAGGGGCAAAUGGAAUUCCUAGGGUAGCGGGGGAAUGCGUAGAUAUUAGGAGGAACACCAGUGGCGAAGGCGAUUUGCUGGACUGUAACUGACACUGAGGCACGAAAGCGUGGGGAGCAAACAGGAUUAGAUACCCCUGGUAGUC